RNAcentral lists this ribosomal RNA (1314 nucleotides) under uncultured Alphaproteobacteria bacterium. RNAcentral describes it as "uncultured alpha proteobacterium 16S ribosomal RNA". It matches the Rfam family "Bacterial small subunit ribosomal RNA", at positions 33 to 1394 of the family's 1533-position model. The record is from RNAcentral. Lineage: Bacteria; Pseudomonadati; Pseudomonadota; Alphaproteobacteria.
ACGCUGGCGGCACGCCUAACACAUGCAAGUCGAACGAAGUAGCAAUACUUAGUGGCAGACGGGUGAGUAACAUGUGGGUAUCUGCCCUUUGGCCUGGAAUAACACGAGGAAACUUGUGCUAAUACCGGAUAAGUCUUUACGGAGAAAGCUUUAUGCACCAUUGGAUGAGCCUGCACUUGAUUAGUUUGUUGGUGGGGUAAUGGCCUACCAAGACUGUGAUCAAUAGCUGAUUUGAGAGGAUGAUCAGCCACAUUGGGACUGAGACACGGCCCAAACUCCUACGGGAGGCAGCAGUGGGGAAUCUUGCACAAUGGAGGAAACUCUGAUGCAGCGAUGCCGCGUGAGUGAAGAAGGCCCUUGGGUUGUAAAGCUCUUUCGUCGGGGAAGAAAAUGACUGUACCCGAAUAAGAAGGUCCGGCUAACUUCGUGCCAGCAGCCGCGGUAAUACGAAGGGACCUAGCGUAGUUCGGAAUUACUGGGCUUAAAGAGUUCGUAGGUGGUUGAAAAAGUUAGUGGUGAAAUCCCAGAGCUUAACUCUGGAACUGCCAUUAAAACUUUUCAGCUAGAGUAUGAUAGAGGAAAGCAGAAUUUCUAGUGUAGAGGUGAAAUUCGUAGAUAUUAGAAAGAAUACCAAUUGCGAAGGCAGCUUUCUGGAUCAUUACUGACACUGAGGAACGAAAGCAUGGGUAGCGAAGAGGAUUAGAUACCCUCGUAGUCCAUGCCGUAAACGAUGUGUGUUAGACGUUGGAAAUUUAUUUUCAGUGUCGCAGCGAAAGCGAUAAACACACCGCCUGGGGAGUACGACCGCAAGGUUAAAACUCAAAUGAAUUGACGGGGACCCGCACAAGUAGUGGAGCAUGUGGUUUAAUUCGAAGAUACGCGCAGAACCUUACCAACACUUGACAUGUUCGUCGCGACUCUAAGAGAUUAGAGUUUUCGGUUCGGCCGGACGAAACACAGGUGCUGCAUGGCUGUCGUCAGCUCGUGUCGUGAGAUGUUGGGUUAAGUCCCGCAACGAGCGCAACCCUCACUUUUAGUUGCCAUCAUUAAGUUGGGCACUCUGAAAGAACUGCCAGUGAUAAGCUGGAGGAAGGUGGGGAUGACGUCAAGUCCUCAUGGCCCUUACGUGUUGGGCUACACACGUGCUACAAUGGUAUCUACAACAGGAAGCAAGACUGCGAAGUUAAGCAAAUCCCUAAAAGAUACCUCAGUUCGGAUUGCACUCUGCAACUCGAGUGCAUGAAGCUGGAAUUACUAGUAAUCGUGGAUCAGCGUGCCACGGUGAAUGCGUUCCCGGGUCUUGUACACACCGCC